GUGCUAUUUGGGCAGCACAGGUACUAAAACUGGAACGACAGAAGAAUAGCAUGGCCCCUGUGCAAAGAUGACACGCAAAUUUGUGAAGCAUUCCUUAUUUUU
This is a small nuclear RNA of Rhinolophus ferrumequinum (greater horseshoe bat), 102 nucleotides long. NCBI's taxonomy places the organism in Eukaryota, Metazoa, Chordata, Mammalia, Chiroptera, Rhinolophidae. The record is from Ensembl.